Molecule: ribosomal RNA, 461 nt
Filed under: uncultured bacterium
Lineage: Bacteria
Description: partial 16S ribosomal RNA
Rfam family: Bacterial small subunit ribosomal RNA
Source: RNAcentral
GCGGCAUGCCUAACACAUGCAAGUCGAACGGUUUUGGAGCUUGCUCCAAGAUAGUGGCGGACGGGUGAGUAACGCGUAGGAAUCUACCUUAUAGAGGGGGACAACCCGGGGAAACUCGGGCUAAUACCGCAUAAUAAUCGAGAGAUGAAAGUAUUGGCCCUUUUGGCCAUACGCUAUAAGCUGCGCCUGCGUUGGAUUGGCUAGUUGGUGGGGUAAAGGCCUACCAAGGCGACGACCCAUAACUGGGCUGAGAGGAUGAUCAGCCACAUUGGGACUGAGACACGGCCCAAACUCCUACGGGAGGCAGCAGUGGGGAAUAUUGGACAAUGGGCGCAAGCCUGAGCCAGCCAUGCCGCGUGUGUGAUGAAGGCCUUAGGGUUGUAAAGCUCUUUCACCGGAGAAGAUAAUGACGGUAUCCGGAGAAGAAGCCCCGGCUAACUUCGUGCCAGCCGCCGCGGUAA